GUGAGGAAUAUUGGUCAAUGGGCGAGAGCCUGAACCAGCCAAGUCGCGUGAAGGAAGAAGGAUCUAUGGUUCGUAAACUUCUUUUGCAGGGGAAUAAAGUGCGGGACGUGUCCUGUUUUGUAUGUACCCUGAGAAUAAGGAUCGGCUAACUCCGUGCCAGCAGCCGCGGUAAUACGGAGGAUCCGAGCGUUAUCCGGAUUUAUUGGGUUUAAAGGGUGCGUAGGUGGUUUGAUAAGUCAGGGGUGAAAGUUUGCAGCUUAACUGUAAAAAUGCCGUUGAAACUGUCGGACUUGAGUGUAAAUGAGGUAGGCGGAAUGCGUGGUGGAGCGGUGAAAUGCAUAGAUAUCACGCAGAACUCCGAUUGCGAAGGCAGCUUACUAAGCUACAACUGACACUGAAGCACGAAAGCGUGGGGAUCAAACAGGAUUAGAUACCUGAGUAGUCC
This 445-nucleotide ribosomal RNA is filed under the name uncultured bacterium. RNAcentral's name for it is "partial 16S ribosomal RNA". It matches the Rfam family "Bacterial small subunit ribosomal RNA", at positions 354 to 796 of the family's 1533-position model. The record is from RNAcentral.